GAGCACGUAGGUGGGUUUGUAAGUCAGAUGUGAAAGCCUUCUGUUCAAAGGAAGAACGGCAUCUGAAACUGCAGAUCUUGAGUGUAGGAGGGGAGAGUGGAACUUCUGGUGGAGCGGUGAAAUGCGUAGAUAUCAGAAGGAACGUCGGCGGCGAAAGCGACUCUCUGGCCUAUUACUGACACUGAGUGUGCGAAAGUUGGGGGAGCAAACGGGAUUAGAUACCCCGGUAGUCCUAACUGUAAACGAUGGGCACUAAGUAGAGGGGGU
RNAcentral lists this ribosomal RNA (267 nucleotides) under uncultured Planctomycetales bacterium. RNAcentral describes it as "partial 16S ribosomal RNA". It matches the Rfam family "Bacterial small subunit ribosomal RNA", at positions 565 to 830 of the family's 1533-position model. Lineage: Bacteria; Pseudomonadati; Planctomycetota; Planctomycetia; Planctomycetales. The record is from RNAcentral.